AAAAGCAUAAUAGUCGAUUGAAAGAAAGGGCAUAUGAUCAAGCAUAACAAGUAACAAGUGUUUCCAAACCACUGAUGACGGUGACUGUGGACUGCGUUGUCUGCUCUUGUGUCCUGGGGCUUUGUCCCCUGCCUUGUGCUUAGGGCACAAACUUCAGGGCAUCACCCCUCUACUUGCCUUCCAGAAGUUUCACAGUAGUAAUCAACUUAUUGGUGGUGUUUGGAGUGUGUGUGUAUGCUGCUAACUUCUACAAGGCUAACUGAAAGCUGCUCACAUGUUAUCAGCACCAGGUAUCCAUCAUGCAGGGAACCCAGAUUUGCAGAUAUAAAGAGGAUGAGCCUGUAGCAUUGCACUGACGUGUUUCAAUUAUACCCUUGCAGCGUAGACGCAAAGAUAGGCAAUGCCAAGCCCUGUACAAGUAGAAAUGGUAAGAACCACAUGGUUCUAGAAGAAAGCUCACCAAGUGCUGGGACAGUCGGAAAAGGCUCCAGAUCAGAGACAGCGCUUGCACUGGGCCUUCCGUCCAUCACAAAUGCUUGGUAAGUGUCCACUGUAUACAGGCACCAGCCAGAGUUUCGCAGACAGCAGUGAGCAAACCAGCAGCCAUGCCCCGUCGCCAUGUGUGAAAGGGGAACCAAAAGGAAGCCAGCACACAAGACCCCUCGUGACUGAGGGAAAAGCAGCACCAGAAGAGCUCGCAAGAAGUGGACUGAGCAUCUACAGUCUGCCACACACAGGUGGAGAAAGAGAGCGGAGGCUUACGGAGGAACCGCCAUCCCCACGUGAAUCAUCACAGCACGGCCAAAGAGCAGCACGUUCCAUAGAGCAGAGGGGCCAAGAGACGAGCCAGAAGGCCGGAGGAAGAGGAGACCUCUGACCUGCAGGAUCUGUACCAGGGACCACAGCAACCUCUGGGUGGAGAGCGAGGGCACAGCACUGAGGAGGCGGAAGGGUGCUACGGGAGAGCUGACCAGAGACUGCAGAGGCCUUGCAGGACUGGGAGGUGCUGGAACUUGGUGCAACCCAGGCAGCAGCUGAGACACCAGAAGGGCCACGCCCCAGGAGUCAGGGCAGCACACGAGGAGUAAGGGACAAAGUAAAUUACCUGAAGUGAAGAGCUCAUUGAAUUUUCUGAACAAUAGACAGGGCACAGCUGAAGAGAGGGUUUUUCAACUCAAAGUUCCAUCAGGAGAAAGCACCUGAAAACUCAGAAAAAAAAAAAAUCAAAAUGAGAAAAAGAUAACAAAGCAA
Herpailurus yagouaroundi (jaguarundi) is the source of this 1251-nucleotide long non-coding RNA. RefSeq lists it as uncharacterized. NCBI's taxonomy places the organism in Eukaryota, Metazoa, Chordata, Mammalia, Carnivora, Felidae. The transcript is spliced from 3 exons. The record is from RefSeq and is a predicted model, not a curated record.